AGUCACCAAUGGCAGACUUCCCUGCAAGAAAAGUCCAAUUUCAAGAUAAAAGUGAUGGAUAUUCCAUUUAAAGGAGAAAAUUAGACAUUAGUAAAUGCGUAAAUAAGAAAUACAAUAAGAAAUUAAUAUUCUUGAUAAGGGUAUUCUCGGGACAUAAUGUUACAUCAAUGUAGAUUAGGACGACAGUUCAUAAAACAGGCAUUUCCCUUUCUGUUUUCUUAUAUGCUCCCUUGUCAUUACUUGGCACAAAUGUAGAAAGGUCCUAGCAUCAAAUGCUACGGCCUUUGAGAAAAAGCAAAGUCAAAUAUCGAUUUAGAGUUUCUAGGCCACAUUCAAGUACUAUGUGUUGGAAUCUCAAUCCCUACAUUAAAA
This 372-nucleotide unclassified non-coding RNA is filed under the name Hevea brasiliensis (rubber tree). The record is from RNAcentral. Lineage: Eukaryota; Viridiplantae; Streptophyta; Magnoliopsida; Malpighiales; Euphorbiaceae.